CCCUUAGAUGUUCUGGGCCGCACGCGCGCUACACUGAUGCAUUCAACGAGCCUAUCCUUGACCGACAGGUCCGGGCAAUCUUUGAAUCUGCAUCGUGACGGGGAUAGAUUAUUGCAAUUAUUAAUCUUCAACGAGGAAUGCCUAGUAGGCGCAAGUCAUCAGCUUGCGUCGAUUACGUCCCUGCCCUUUGUACACACCGCCCGUCGCUCCUACCGAUUGGGUGUGCUGGUGAAAUGUUCGGAUCGGCCGUUUGUCGCGGUUUCCGCGGCUCGUGGCUGAGAAGUUCAUUAAACCCUCCCACCUAGAGGAAGGAGAAGUCGUAACA
This 325-nucleotide ribosomal RNA is filed under the name uncultured eukaryote. RNAcentral describes it as "partial 18S ribosomal RNA". It matches the Rfam family "Eukaryotic small subunit ribosomal RNA", at positions 1470 to 1796 of the family's 1831-position model. The record is from RNAcentral.